ACGAGUCAUUUACAACUUCAGCAUGCCAAGCGGAUGUCGCAUUAUGUCGCUGAAGGUGCUUUGCGCCAACUGCAGCAUACCGGUAUACAAUGAAGUUAUGGAAAAUGAGACAUACAGUAUUGUGACCACUACUUUCAUUGCAAACGGGGGCGAUGGUUUUAAGUUUGACAGGUCUGUCAAAUGGAAGACUGAAGGAGUGAGCGCUACGGACGCAUUACUGGCCUACAUAAAAAAAAUAUCGCCCAUAAAAACUCCGGAAGAAGGUCGCGUGAUCGCACUGGACCUGCCACGGAAGCCCGAGAAUACAACAACGUCCUCACCGAUUGCACAGCCCUCAGCAACUACAGCCAACUCGGCAGUUACAAUGGCUUCAGUGAUGUCUCGAAAUGAGUGGAGGUCUAUGAGAAGAAAUUAUCUUUGGUGAUGUGCACACCGAUUGCGAAACGUACAUCCCAUGUUCCCAUAAAUAAAUGUUUUAUACCA
This is a long non-coding RNA of Dermacentor silvarum, 483 nucleotides long. RefSeq lists it as uncharacterized. The transcript has 2 exons. The record is from RefSeq and is a predicted model, not a curated record. Lineage: Eukaryota; Metazoa; Arthropoda; Arachnida; Ixodida; Ixodidae.